CUCUUCGGGAUGAUUAAACCGGCGCACGGGUGAGUAACACGUGAGUGACCUGCCUUUUAGACUGGAACAACUUACCGAAAGGUGAGCUAAUGCCGGAUGAGUUAUAUAAGUGCAUGUUUAUAUAGGAAAAGUUGGGGAGACCUGACGCUGAAAGAUGGACUCGCGUCCCAUUAGCUAGUUGGUAGGGUAAUGGCCUACCAAGGCGACGAUGGGUAGCCGGCCUGAGAGGGUGGCCGGCCACACUGGGACUGAGACACGGCCCAGACUCCUACGGGAGGCAGCAGUGGGGAAUUUUGCGCAAUGCUCGUAAGAGUGACGCAGCGACGCCGCGUGAAUGACGAAGGCCUUCGGGUCGUAAAGUUCUUUCGACAGGGAAGAAAAUGCCUAUAAGUAACUGUGUAUGUAUUGACGGUACCUGUAUAAGCAGCCCCGGCUAACUCCGUGCCAGCAGCCGCGGUAAUACGGAGGGGGCGAGCGUUGUUCGGAGUGACUGGGCGUAAAGAGCACGUAGGCGGUGUUGUAAGUCAUUAGUCAAAGACUAGAGCUCAACUUUAGUAAGGCUAGUGAUACUAUAAUACUAGAGUAUCAGAGAGGAUUGCAGAAUUCCUGGUGUAGCGGUGAAAUGCGUAGAUAUCAGGAGGAAUACCGUUAGCGAAGGCGGCAAUCUGGCUGGAAACUGACGCUGAGGUGCGAAAGCGUGGGUAGCAAACAGGAUUAGAUACCCUGGUAGUCCACGCUGUAAACGAUGGAUGCUAGGUGUUGGGCUUUUAAGUUCAGUGCCGCAGCAAACGCGAUAAGCAUCCCGCCUGGGG
This 812-nucleotide ribosomal RNA is filed under the name uncultured bacterium. Its description in RNAcentral is "bacterial SSU rRNA". It matches the Rfam family "Bacterial small subunit ribosomal RNA", at positions 77 to 878 of the family's 1533-position model. The record is from RNAcentral.